GACGAACGCUGGCGGCGUGCUUAACACAUGCAAGUCGAACGGAAAGGCCUUGCUUUUGUGGGGUGCUCGAGUGGCGAACGGGUGAGUAACACGUGAGUAACCUGCCCUUGACUUUGGGAUAACUUCAGGAAACUGGGGCUAAUACCGGAUAGGAGCUCCUGCUGCAUGGUGGGGGUUGGAAAGUUUCGGCGGUUGGGGAUGGACUCGCGGCUUAUCAGCUUGUUGGUGGGGUAGUGGCUUACCAAGGCUUUGACGGGUAGCCGGCCUGAGAGGGUGACCGGCCACAAUGGGACUGAGAUACGGCCCAGACUCCUACGGGAGGCAGCAGUGGGGAGUAUUGCACAAUGGGCGGAAGCCUGAUGCAGCAACGCCGCGUGCGGGAUGACGGCCUUCGGGUUGUAAACCGCUUUCGCCUGUGACGAAGCGUGAGUGACGGUAAUGGGUAAAGAAGCACCGGCUAACUACGUG
Molecule: ribosomal RNA, 468 nt
Filed under: uncultured bacterium
Lineage: Bacteria
Description: partial 16S ribosomal RNA
Rfam family: Bacterial small subunit ribosomal RNA
Source: RNAcentral